This 442-nucleotide ribosomal RNA is filed under the name Staphylococcus aureus. Its description in RNAcentral is "bacterial SSU rRNA". It matches the Rfam family "Bacterial small subunit ribosomal RNA", at positions 1036 to 1478 of the family's 1533-position model. The record is from RNAcentral. Lineage: Bacteria; Bacillati; Bacillota; Bacilli; Caryophanales; Staphylococcaceae.
AGGUGGUGCAUGGUUGUCGUCAGCUCGUGUCGUGAGAUGUUGGGUUAAGUCCCGCAACGAGCGCAACCCUUAAGCUUAGUUGCCAUCAUUAAGUUGGGCACUCUAAGUUGACUGCCGGUGACAAACCGGAGGAAGGUGGGGAUGACGUCAAAUCAUCAUGCCCCUUAUGAUUUGGGCUACACACGUGCUACAAUGGACAAUACAAAGGGCAGCGAAACCGCGAGGUCAAGCAAAUCCCAUAAAGUUGUUCUCAGUUCGGAUUGUAGUCUGCAACUCGACUACAUGAAGCUGGAAUCGCUAGUAAUCGUAGAUCAGCAUGCUACGGUGAAUACGUUCCCGGGUCUUGUACACACCGCCCGUCACACCACGAGAGUUUGUAACACCCGAAGCCGGUGGAGUAACCUUUUAGGAGCUAGCCGUCGAAGGUGGGACAAAUGAUUGG